This 388-nucleotide long non-coding RNA is filed under the name Capsella grandiflora. Its description in RNAcentral is "long non-coding RNA (CGRA_LNC000108)". The record is from RNAcentral. Lineage: Eukaryota; Viridiplantae; Streptophyta; Magnoliopsida; Brassicales; Brassicaceae.
AUGAAGGAGUAGGGGGUUUAGGAUCCGGUGGAGGAGGAGAUGAAGGAGUAGGGGGUUUAGGAUCCGGUGGAGGAGACUUUUCAGGACGUUGUGGAUCCCGUGGAGGAGGAGAAGGUUCUGGAUCCCGUGGAGGAGGCGGAGGACGUUCUGAGGCUGGUGGGGAAGGCAAAUGACUUGGAGGAGGUGGAGAUGAAUGUGAUGGUGGGUCUGAUGUAGGUGGCGGAGGUGGAUAUAUUGGUAAGUCUGGUGCAGGUGGUGGUGGAGUGGCUUCCUGUGGCGGAACUGAUGGUCUGGAGGGUGGAGCAGGAGACGGAGGUGGUAAAAUGACAGGCUGAUCAGCUGGUGGAGGGGGAGGGGGAGAGCUCUCAGGCGGAGGUGAUGGAUUUGU